ACCUUUCAAAUCAGGGUGCGGCGCGGCCCCCGAGGAGCGGAAACAAUCCUUGGGAGGUAUGCGGGGGCUUCGAGCCCCCCAUUUACGCACGCACGACUUGCCAUCCUUACUUUACGAGCACCUUCUGUUCUCCCUCGGCGGGGCAACCUGCCGUUGGAACCGAAUAAACUCUUUUUUUGCAUCUAGCAUUACCUGUUCCGAAACAAACAAUCGUUA
Molecule: unclassified non-coding RNA, 216 nt
Filed under: soil metagenome
Description: partial internal transcribed spacer 1
Source: RNAcentral